AAGACUUUAGGUUAAUCCAAACCAAAGGCCUUCAAAGCCUUCGAUAAGUUAACAAAACUUAAGUCUUG
This 68-nucleotide transfer RNA is filed under the name Cellana nigrlineata. Its description in RNAcentral is "tRNA-Trp". Lineage: Eukaryota; Metazoa; Mollusca; Gastropoda; Nacellidae. The record is from RNAcentral.